CAUAUGGGAUCCCGGGCGUUCAAGGCGAGGACCUUAACCACUGCGCCACUGUGCCGGGCCCUAGAUGCAAUUUAUAUACUAAACACCUGCAACCUCUAUGUAGAUUCCUUUUCAGAUUUUUGGUUGUUUUGUGGCCUGGAAAUGUUUCGUUCUACUUCCAUUUUGCUUGCUGAGAGCUCACAAGCAUAUGAGUGUGUUUACGUGUGUGUUUUUUGGUUCAGCAUACACAGCGGGAGGAACCUUUCCUGAGGAGCCUCAGUUCUCCCAUGAAUUGGGAGAACCAUGUGGCUCAGAGAAAUUGUACCUGGCUCAGGGCUGCACAGCAAGCAGCCAGAGCGCCAGCAAAUUUGACUGAGAUGUAGCCAUUCCACUCAGUGAUUUCUGCUACUCUCGUCUGCCUCUGAUUACAGCCCAGAAACAGAUUCCAGCAUUCAUUCAUGUGAUGCUCACCGCGCACCUGUGGUGUGCGGUGAGCAAUCCAGGUGUGGGGAAGCAGCGAGGAGAACAGAUGGGGUCUCUCCCACAGACCUGGAGAAACAACAAGUGAAUGCACACACACAUAAAACCAAGGUGGUUUUCGAAAGAGACUUUCUUGGAAGCCAACAGAACGAGCUGGGAGAUCUCAACAUCUGCUGCAAUUUGACUGUUCAGAACUCCUGAUGGUGGGAGUUUUCUAUCU
Molecule: long non-coding RNA, 679 nt
Organism: Ochotona curzoniae (black-lipped pika)
Lineage: Eukaryota; Metazoa; Chordata; Mammalia; Lagomorpha; Ochotonidae
Exons: 3
Source: RefSeq, a predicted model, not a curated record